UGAGUAACACGUAUCCAACCUGCCGUCUACUCUUGGACAGCCUUCUGAAAGGAAGAUUAAUACAAGAUGGCAUCAUGAGUCCGCAUGUUCACAUGAUUAAAGGUAUUCCGGUAGACGAUGGGGAUGCGUUCCAUUAGAUAGUAGGCGGGGUAGCGGCCCACCUAGUCUUCGAUGGAUAGGGGUUCUGAGAGGAAGGUCCCCCACAUUGGAACUGAGACACGGUCCAAACUCCUACGGGAGGCAGCAGUGAGGAAUAUUGGUCAAUGGGCGAGAGCCUGAACCAGCCAAGUAGCGUGAAGGAUGACUGCCCUAUGGGUUGUAAACUUCUUUUAUAAAGGAAUAAAGUCGGGUAUGGAUACCCGUUUGCAUGUACUUUAUGAAUAAGGAUCGGCUAACUCCGUGCCAGCAGCCGCGGUAAUACGGAGGAUCCGAGCGUUAUCCGGAUUUAUUGGGUUUAAAGGGAGCGUAGAUGGAUGUUUAAGUCAGUUGUGAAAGUUUGCGGCUCAACCGUAAAAUUGCAGUUGAUACUGGAUAUCUUGAGUGCAGUUGAGGCAGGCGGAAUUCGUGGUGUAGCGGUGAAAUGCUUAGAUAUCACGAAGAACUCCGAUUGCGAAGGCAGCCUGCUAAGCUGCAACUGACAUUGAGGCUCGAAAGUGUGGGUAUCAAACAGGAUUAGAUACCCUGGUAGUCCACACGGUAAACGAUGAAUACUCGCUGUUUGCGAUAUACUGCAAGCGGCCAAGCGAAAGCGUUAAGUA
RNAcentral lists this ribosomal RNA (758 nucleotides) under uncultured bacterium. Its description in RNAcentral is "bacterial SSU rRNA". It matches the Rfam family "Bacterial small subunit ribosomal RNA", at positions 107 to 866 of the family's 1533-position model. The record is from RNAcentral.